CGAGAGUGCAAGCGUUAAUCGGAAUUACUGGGCGUAAAGCGCGCGUAGGUGGAUGCUUAAGUCGAAUGUGAAAGCCCUGGGGCUUAACCUGGGAACUGCAUUCGAUACUGGGCGUCUAGAGUAUAGUAGAGGGAAGUGGAAUUUCAGGUGUAGCGGUGAAAUGCGUAGAUAUCUGAAGGAACAUCAGUGGCGAAAGCGGCUUCCUGGACUAAUACUGACACUGAGGUGCGAAAGCGUGGGGAGCAAACAGGAUUAGAGACCCUGGUAGUCCACGCCGUCAACGAUGAUAACUAGAUGUUGGGGACACUGGUCCUUAGUAUCAAAGCUAACGCGUUAAGUUAUCCGCCUGGGGAGUACGGCCGCAAGGUUA
RNAcentral lists this ribosomal RNA (370 nucleotides) under uncultured organism. Its description in RNAcentral is "partial 16S ribosomal RNA". It matches the Rfam family "Bacterial small subunit ribosomal RNA", at positions 527 to 896 of the family's 1533-position model. The record is from RNAcentral.